Molecule: long non-coding RNA, 506 nt
Organism: Physella acuta
Lineage: Eukaryota; Metazoa; Mollusca; Gastropoda; Physidae
Source: RefSeq, a predicted model, not a curated record
UUUUUAUCUUUUCCCCCAACAGAAGCGCUUGAAUUUGAAUGAAAAUCAACGUCUGCUCUACGAAGCGUCAGUGCAGUGUUAUUUUUUUGAAAUCUACGAGGGUAUCCCUGAGUCCACCCAGCCCAGAUUGGUACCGGACUCAGGGAAAGUGAAAGCAGCUGAGCAUGGUGACCACACCAUCCCUUCCUAUACUGAGGACACAGAUGAAUCACUAGUUCUGAAAGGGUAACUCUACACAUUAAAGCUUAUUGACGUGGAUGAAGUUUGGGUUGCCUGAAAGACCACACCACACUUGAAAGGUUCAUGCCACAUUUUCUUGCAAUCCCUAAGAACAAUAGUGUGAGAUUACACAUUAACAAAAAAGCAAAAGAAACUCAUACAAUAGUAAGUAUAUGGGGGUUAGUUGAUAAAUUGUUUACUUACAUGCAAGAAUCUCUUAAGCAGUCAGGAUUCUGACAGGAGAACCUUUUACUGGAGCAAUUGAUUUCUUCCGUUAAAUAGAAGCA